Long non-coding RNA from Gallus gallus (chicken), 2966 nucleotides. NCBI's taxonomy places the organism in Eukaryota, Metazoa, Chordata, Aves, Galliformes, Phasianidae. The record is from Ensembl.
GCCCUCCCGCAGGGUCCCGGUGCCGUGCGGGUCUCCGUGCCGCCCCGCGCCGUAACACCGCCACCUGCUGCGGUAGCACCGGCACGUGGCAGAGAGGAGAGGCCGUCUGGCUCUGGGAAACACGGGGAGCUGCCGCAAAAGGUGCAGCGGAUGCUGCCGCGGAGCGCUGCCGCGGAGUGCUGCGAGAUCCCGGCGGACGCAUCCACGUGUCCCGCGGGCGGUACGCAGCCCCGUACAGGGACUCAGGGAGCUGCACGCUGCCCGGCUCGUUACCGACCCGCUGUGCAGCGUUUUCUAAAAGUCCGUCCAGAUUUUGGCCUUCCCGCAUAUCAUCAUGACUGAGGUGAUAAUGAUUAAUGGGUUAAAACUCAUUAUUAAUACAAGAGUAACUCUGCGUGCUAGUUAAAAUUAAAUAUGUUCCUUUCCUUUUCUUGACUGCAUUUAAGAAGAAAAAUAUGGCACGCCAUGCUGAGAAGUAACUGGCAUAUUUGCUUCCUUUUCAGACCUUCUAUCUGCCUAUAUUUUUCUUUCCUAUUAUUUGUUUUGAUCUCUUGUCACAGAGCAGCAUACGUUUCAGUGGUUUCUUUGAUUUUCUGACAGGUUCUGGACGUAUUUACCACCUUAAAAUCAAGUUAGGGUUUCAGAACAUCCACUACAAAGCAAAACUAAACUGUAAGAGCCAAAAAAAGUAAAUAAUAACUGUAAUUAAUCAUAUUUAGUAGUAUAUUUGCAGAAGUAUUUAACAGAACUAACAAAAAAUUGUCGUAUCAUUUGUAGUAUGCAAGCUUAUUUAUAGUAUGCAAGCAUUCAUAGUACGCAAAACAGGGAUUUAAGUUUGUAGUACAAUGCACAGAUACUUGUUACCAACCAAAGCUCCUGCCAAAUAAAUAAAUAAAUAACCAAUUUUAAGUAUAGCUUCUAAAUUCAGUGCAUAUUCUUUCUAUUUCUGCUUUUUGGGUCCCCCUCCGCCUCCUCCCAUACCCUCCAAAAACCACCUUUCUAACUAGAGAAAUUCUUUCUAAUUUUAGUAUAUUAAUGGCAAGUAGAGGGCAAAGAUAUUUCUUGUCUUAGUUUCAGCUGGGAUGGAAUUGUUUUCUUCAGAGCAUCUGGUAUGAUGCUAUGUUUUGGUUCUGGGAGAAAAACAACACUGAUAACACACCAAUGUUUAUAGCUGCCUGCAAAGCGGUGUUGUACAGAGCAAAGGCCAUCCUCAGCAAAGGGCCCGAGGAGCUGGGAGGGAACAGAAUGAGAAUGGUUGACUUAAGUGGGCCAAAGAGAUAUUCUAUACCGUAUGACAUUAUGUGGAAGGAGUUUCGAUGGGGGUGGGAGUUCAACUCAUUCUCUUUCGCUGCUCAGAAGGCUAAGUGCACAUUGGUUGGGGGGCAGAGAGCAAUUCCUUGUGCACCACUUCUUAUAUACUUUCAUAUGUGUAUAUAUAUGUGUGUGUGUGUGUACAUCAUAAUUAUUAUCCUUUUCCUUUUCUCUAUCUUAGUAAGUAAUUUUAUCUCAACCCCAGAGUUCUACUUAGUUGUUUUUUCUAAUUAUCUCCCCCGUCCCACUGAGAAGUGGGGGAGUGAAUGAGCAAUUGUGUGGUGCUGAGCCACCUGCAGGGUUAAACCACAACAUUCCUAAAAGAGCACAGCUCAAUAUAGAGUCUUGUCACAAGGUGCAUUUGUGUACCGAUUCAGCUGGGAGCAUGUGAAUGCAUUUAUGUAGGCACAGACAUGGAUGCCUGCAGCGCAGAGAACGGUCUGACCUGAGACUAUGGGUUUAAAAAGCCUCCACACAGGGAGGGGUUUUUUCCUAAGAGAGGGUGGAGUUAAAAUUACAAGGGAUUGUAAAUUCAUGUGAAGAAUACUGUUGUUCAACUUCACGUUGGAGCUUGGUCUCCCCACUUUAUCAAAGGGAUAGAUCAGACGUGGCUUCACACAGUUCCCCACAGCCAUUCACAUAAGACCUCGACAGUCACCCAUCUUCAAUCUACCAUGCAGCUGUGGCAUGAUUCAAAUCCAGAAGCCAUUAUUUAUGGCUCAUUUUUUUCCUUAACUUUGCAAAGUCAGGAAACUAAGAAAAUUGCUUAGGAAGGAUCAUAUCUUCUCAUGAGAGACAUUUAUUUCAUUGCUUAAAAAGUAAGCAUUACACGUCUUUUGACACUGGUAGGUUGUCUGAGCUUGGUUUGUGUUAUUAUGAUCCAGUUCUCAUGAAUAGCUCUCUUCAUGGGUGUGAUAGUCACUUAAUUAUUUUUAUUCCCACAGCUGCAUAUGUGCUUCUGCCCCUGCGCCCUUUUCUCUCUGCAGCCCCCACCCUUUUCCUCAAUUCCACUAAUAUUUGGGUAAUUUAAAUCCUUGAGGAACUCGGUCACCUAUGCUAAGGUUAUUAGGUCCUAAAUAUAUAGAUCCCUGCCAUGUAAAAAAAAAAUGACUACAGCUCCACUUUUAUCUCAUACAGAAAAUUUCCCUCAUAAGAACACAUAUAAAAAUUUUCUUUUUAUUCAUAGAGACAGAUGAUGUAAUAAACGUGGGACUCUGUCCCUCUGGGAAUGCAUUGACUACCUUCCUUCAAGGGAACCUAGCCCACACAGGAUGGAAGAAAUCAUUUUCUUUCCUUCCUGUCACUUUGCCCUUAUAUUCUCCUUCUAUUUCCCUGUGUUGCUGUAAUGUCUCCUCUGGGAAGAAAGCCAUCAAUUGUGCUCUCGGUUCUGGGGUUUGGUUUCUGAGAGUUACAGAUGGAAGGUGGUGGUGGGGAAAAACUUACUGUAGGUUUCUCAGCUAUGAAACCUCUCCUUCCCUUUUUACUUGAACAUGCUCACAAGCACCCAAACACCUAAAAGGGUCUGGUUUUCUCUCAGAUGGAGAGAUGAAACACUAAUCCAUUUGGUUCACAAAAAGGUGUUACAGUAUCUGCUAUCAGAUAGGUUAUGUGAUGAACUCACUGUCACAUCUUGCCUCAGAUUAACAUCCAAAAGG